RNAcentral lists this ribosomal RNA (663 nucleotides) under uncultured cyanobacterium. Its description in RNAcentral is "bacterial SSU rRNA". It matches the Rfam family "Bacterial small subunit ribosomal RNA", at positions 99 to 795 of the family's 1533-position model. Lineage: Bacteria; Bacillati; Cyanobacteriota. The record is from RNAcentral.
CGGACGGGUGAGUAACGCGUGAGAAUCUGCCUUCAGGUCUGGGACAACCACUGGAAACGGUGGCUAAUACCGGAUGUGCCGCAAGGUGAAAGGUUAACUGCCUGAAGAUGAGCUCGCGUCUGAUUAGCUAGUUGGCAGUGUAACAGACUACCAAGGCGACGAUCAGUAGCUGGUCUGAGAGGACGAUCAGCCACACUGGGACUGAGACACGGCCCAGACUCCUACGGGAGGCAGCAGUGGGGAAUUUUCCGCAAUGGGCGAAAGCCUGACGGAGCAAUACCGCGUGAGGGAGGAAGGCUCUUGGGUCGUAAACCUCUUUUCUCAGGGAAGAACACAAUGACGGUACCUGAGGAAUAAGCAUCGGCUAACUCCGUGCCAGCAGCCGCGGUAAUACGGAGGAUGCAAGCGUUAUCCGGAAUGAUUGGGCGUAAAGCGUCCGCAGGUGGCGAUGUAAGUCUGCUGUUAAAGCGUCUAGCUCAACUAGAUAAAAGCAGUGGAAACUACAUAGCUAGAGUACGUUCGGGGCAGAGGGAAUUCCUGGUGUAGCGGUGAAAUGCGUAGAGAUCAGGAAGAACACCGGUGGCGAAGGCGCUCUGCUAGGCCGUAACUGGCACUGAGGGACGAAAGCUAGGGGAGCGAAUGGGAUUAGAUACCCCAGUAGUC